CCUACGGGAGGCAGCAGUGGGGAAUAUUGCACAAUGGGCGCAAGCCUGAUGCAGCCAUGCCGCGUGUGUGAAGAAGGCCUUCGGGUUGUAAAGCACUUUCAGCGGGGAGGAAGGCGUUAAGGUUAAUAACCUUGUCGAUUGACGUUACCCGCAGAAGAAGCACCGGCUAACUCCGUGCCAGCAGCCGCGGUAAUACGGAGGGUGCAAGCGUUAAUCGGAAUUACUGGGCGUAAAGCGCACGCAGGCGGUCUGUCAAGUCGGAUGUGAAAUCCCCGGGCUCAACCUGGGAACUGCAUUCGAAACUGGCAGGCUAGAGUCUUGUAGAGGGGGGUAGAAUUCCAGGUGUAGCGGUGAAAUGCGUAGAGAUCUGGAGGAAUACCGGUGGCGAAGGCGGCCCCCGGGACAAAGACUGACGCUCAGGUGCGAAAGCGUGGGGAGCAAACAGGAUUAGAUACCGUGUAGUC
This 464-nucleotide ribosomal RNA is filed under the name uncultured Klebsiella sp. RNAcentral describes it as "bacterial SSU rRNA". It matches the Rfam family "Bacterial small subunit ribosomal RNA", at positions 338 to 795 of the family's 1533-position model. Lineage: Bacteria; Pseudomonadati; Pseudomonadota; Gammaproteobacteria; Enterobacterales; Enterobacteriaceae. The record is from RNAcentral.